This is a non-coding RNA of Podarcis lilfordi (Lilford's wall lizard), 76 nucleotides long. The record is from the annotation of a GenBank genome assembly. Lineage: Eukaryota; Metazoa; Chordata; Lepidosauria; Squamata; Lacertidae.
GCCCAGACAGCUCAGUUGGUAGAGCGUCAGAUUUAUAAUAUGAGGGUCAUGGGUUCAAGCCCAAAAGAUUCAUGCA